This 468-nucleotide ribosomal RNA is filed under the name uncultured bacterium. RNAcentral's name for it is "partial 16S ribosomal RNA". It matches the Rfam family "Bacterial small subunit ribosomal RNA", at positions 28 to 507 of the family's 1533-position model. The record is from RNAcentral.
GACGAACGCUGGCGGCGUGCUUAACACAUGCAAGUCGAACGGAAAGGCCCUGCUUUUGUGGGGUGCUCGAGUGGCGAACGGGUGAGUAACACGUGAGUAACCUGCCCUUGACUUUGGGAUAACUUCAGGACACUGGGGCUAAUACCGGAUAGGAGCUCCUGCUGCAUGGUGGGGGUUGGAAAGUUUCGGCGGUUGGGGAUGGACUCGCGGCUUAUCAGCUUGUUGGUGGGGUAGUGGCUUACCAAGGCUUUGAAGGGUAGCCGGCCUGAGAGGGUGACCGGCCACAUUGGGACUGAGAUGCGGCCCAGACUCCUACGGUAGGCAACAGUGGGGAAGAGUGCACAAGGGGCGGAAGCCUGAUGCAGCAACGCCGCGUGCGGGAUGACGGCCUGCGGGUUGGAAACCGCUGUCGCCUGUGACGAAGCGUGAGUGACGGUAAUGGGUAAAGAAGCACCGGCUAACUACGUG